CAGAGGGGGCAAGCGUUAUUCGGAAUUAUUGGGCGUAAAGGGCGCGUAGGCGGCCUGGCAAGUGGAAGGUGAAAUCCCUCGGCUUAACCGAGGAACUGCCUCCCAAACUGCUUGGCUUGAGACCAGGAGAGGUGAGUGGAAUUCCCAGUGUAGCGGUGAAAUGCGUAGAUAUUGGGAGGAACACCAGUGGCGAAGGCGGCUCACUGGACUGGUACUGACGCUGAGGCGCGAAAGCGUGGGGAGCAAACGGGAUUAGAUACCCCGGUAGUCCACGCCGUAAACGAUGAGUGCUUGGUGUAGCGGGUAUCGACCCCUGCUGUGCCGAAGUCAACACAUUAAGCACUCCGCCUGGGGAGGUACGGUCGCAAGGCUG
RNAcentral lists this ribosomal RNA (373 nucleotides) under uncultured organism. Its description in RNAcentral is "bacterial SSU rRNA". It matches the Rfam family "Bacterial small subunit ribosomal RNA", at positions 526 to 896 of the family's 1533-position model. The record is from RNAcentral.